Long non-coding RNA from Vitis vinifera (wine grape), 519 nucleotides. RefSeq lists it as uncharacterized. The transcript is spliced from 2 exons. The record is from RefSeq and is a predicted model, not a curated record. NCBI's taxonomy places the organism in Eukaryota, Viridiplantae, Streptophyta, Magnoliopsida, Vitales, Vitaceae.
GAAAUUUAUUAGUUUUAUUUAAAUAAGGAAUAGAUUAGUUAAAUUAUAAAUAAAUAGUAAUAAUUGUUUUUCUUAUGUUAUAUUAGGUGAAGAGUAGAUUAUAUUUUUUUUUCAGAAUUAUUCUUCUCCCAAGCUUUCAAGGAUUUCUUUUGAGGUACUCUUAGUUCGGGUGAGGAGUGAUGGCUAGGCUGAGGAAUGGUCAUCAUUAGGAUUUGACUUAGGAUUUUAUGUUGGAUUUUGUUUAACUAUUAGUUAUGUUCAUUUGGAUCAUUUGAUAUUUGGAAGUUAUUUGGAAAUUGAAUUUUGAGGAUUUUAGAUUUUGUUCCGCUACUCUGAACAGGUAUUUGGUAAUUGGUAACAUCCAGUUACAAUAUGAUUGUUUGGGUCAGAUUAUACUUUAAGCCUUCGGGUUUGAGGUGUGAAAUGACCGUCACGCCCUUGGAGUGGGUCUUGGGGCGUGACAUUAGCACUCAUGUGAAGGCAGGAAAAUUGAUUAGUCGAUAUGUUCUAGUGUUAGAA